This 321-nucleotide long non-coding RNA is filed under the name Homo sapiens (human). RNAcentral's name for it is "non-protein coding lnc-TCEANC-3:1". Lineage: Eukaryota; Metazoa; Chordata; Mammalia; Primates; Hominidae. The record is from RNAcentral.
UCACCGGAGUCAAUCAGCUGUAGGCUCCAACUCAUUAUGAAAAGUGAAAAGUACAUGCUGGAGUACAAGAAGACUCUGAAGAUGAUCAGACAAGGCAAAGUGAAACUGUCAUCCUUGCCAACAAUUGUACAGCUUUGAGGAAAUCUGAAAUAGCAUUAUUACAGCAUAUUGGCCCAAACUGGUGUCCAUCACUACAGUGGCAAUAAUAAUGAAUUGUGCACAGCAUGCAGAAAAUACUACAGAUUCUGCACACUAGCUAUCAUUUAUCCAGAUGAUUCUGAUAUCAUUAGAAGCAUGCCAUAACAGGCUGGUGAAAGGUAA